GGACUAUUCCCCUAACCAAUGAAUACUGAAGACAGUGACAAACCAAGAGGUUUGAGUCAGGAUUUGGUUGCUAUCAAGUUUGGCUAUACCUGGAGGCACAAUGCAAUCUUCAGACCUGUUUGAACAAUUUGGUUUGCAGACUUUGAGUCCACCUGCACUUUCCCAGCUGUUGCUCCUUGUUCGUUACAUGAUCCUUAGUCUCACAUGAGUGUUCAAACUACUGUAACUUUCUGCAGCCCCAAAAGCUUCUUUGUCAGAACAUUUCUGUCUUUUUUUUUUUUUUUUUCCAGUGGCUGUCCAGCUCUGACACAGCCACUGAGCCUGACACACAUCGUUGUUGGCAGCAGCGCAAAUUAGUGCUCCAGUGACAGCCACCCCGUGGCAGAAAUGCCUUUGCAAGUUAGGAUGCUCAGAGAUCUGUAAGCCUGGGGAAAGCACAGCCUGGAGAGAUGGAGCCGUGGCAAGCCGAGAGAGGUGAGGACAACUGGAAAACCCGACAAGAAACAUCAAAAGAGAAAUAUGAAGCUGAGAUUUGAAAAGUGCUUAUGAGGAAGAAAUGGUUCCAGACACCUGUCUCGUUUUCUCCAGACACACCUGGGAAAUGAAGACAGCUGUGUUGCUGGUGAGUGGAAAUUUAUUUCUGGAUUUCUCAACUACUGAUAUUUUAUUUAUAUUAUAUAUAUAUAUAUAUAUAUAUAUAUAUAUAUAUAUAUAUAUUUAACAUUUUGUUUCAAUUCAGUAGUUUUAAAACAAGCUGUUCAUGGUAGACUGCUUAGAGAUAAAGACACCAAACUAUUCCAAAUCAAUCUAUAUGAUGAAAAAACAAAUACCAUCAGUACUUAUUGCUUUUUUGCUAACAUUGCACAUCUCAUCACUGUCAUAAUUGAUUUGAAGUGAUCCAAUACAGCAUAAUAGAAAAUGAACAUUUCAAAAGAGGGGAAGGAGGAGGGAGAAAGGGGGUGGUGGUGUCAAGAAUAUAUUCAAAAGUUGGAUACAAAUGUGUAACGGACAUGAUCUUUACAGUAAGCACUAGCAAUUAAUAUAGUCCUUUAAAGUGUCAUAGCAGAUAUUACCAGUCACAUUAGGCAGUAUUAGUUUGGAUAAGAAAAAAGUUUACUUGAUUUGAUAGAAAAGCAAAAGAAAAAAAUGUUGUUCGGUUCUGCUAAACUAAAAGAUGCCGCAAACAUAAAUGACAACAAUUCCUGAAAGAUUGAUAAACAAAAAUCUAUAACAACAAUAGUCUCAAAGCAAGAGAGAUUAGAAAGGGGUUUGUGCUAAGAAAUCUCAGUGCAGCAGCCUAUGGAAUAC
Molecule: long non-coding RNA, 1308 nt
Filed under: Anas platyrhynchos platyrhynchos (common mallard)
Lineage: Eukaryota; Metazoa; Chordata; Aves; Anseriformes; Anatidae
Description: lncRNA (ENSAPLG00000024035.1)
Source: RNAcentral